AAAACUGGGGCUUAAAAAUGGUGUCAUGUGUCUAAGGUUACAUACCUUGGAACUGGUAAAGCCAAUAUUUAAACCUAAACUCUUUGACUCCAGAGCUGGUGUGAAGAACCAUACACUCACUCUAUAACCUCCACCCAGCACCUAGCAACUCCAGAAGUUUCACAUUAAAAGAUGAUCAAGCUGAAACUAAGAGACAUUAAAAUGAAGAAAUAAAUAACUUCCACGCUCCCAGACAAAAGCUGAAUGAAGACAAUUCUGUUCACUAGGGCUUCAAAGAAGACUGUGUGUGGAAGCCUUAGUGCAUUACAACUUAGCCUAGGAUGAGGGGAAGACGGGGUCCAGGGGAGAAGUGGAUGUCUGAUCUGCAUUUCCCAUUCAUCAGUAACUGCUCUUACUUGGAGAUUUUUGGCUUCUUGUGGAGAUACUUGUGGUUUUGGAGAAACUCAAGCCCAUUACUGCUCGCUGGAUGGGACAAAUGACCCAGAUAGAGCAGGCAGCAGGUCCCACGAGACUGGCAACAGUGAGUGGUUUAUAUUGCCUGAAUCCAGUGAAGUCGAUAAGUCCUAGGUCACUGUGGAAUUUUAAGAUGAAGUUAUACUACCUCUCUCUAUGAUGUGUCUCAUCAUGCUUGGGUCUGCAGCAACCUUUUUUUUGUAUUAUGAGGGAAGUUAUUCUU
This 676-nucleotide long non-coding RNA is filed under the name Chinchilla lanigera (long-tailed chinchilla). RNAcentral's name for it is "lncRNA (ENSCLAG00000022414.1)". Lineage: Eukaryota; Metazoa; Chordata; Mammalia; Rodentia; Chinchillidae. The record is from RNAcentral.